UACGGAGGGUGCAAGCAUUAAUCGGAUUUAUUGGGCGUAAAGGGCGCGUAGGCUGGUUUGUAAGUCAGAUGUGAAAUCCCGGGGCUCAACCCCGGAACAGCAUUUGAAACUGCAUACCUAGAGGGUAGGCGGAGAAAACGGAAUUCCACAAGUAGCGGUGAAAUGCGUAGAUAUGUGGAAGAACACCGGUGGCGAAGGCGGUUUUCUAGCUUACUCCUGACGCUGAGGCGCGAAAGCAAGGGGAUCAAACAGG
This 253-nucleotide ribosomal RNA is filed under the name uncultured bacterium. RNAcentral's name for it is "partial 16S ribosomal RNA". It matches the Rfam family "Bacterial small subunit ribosomal RNA", at positions 524 to 776 of the family's 1533-position model. The record is from RNAcentral.